Paramormyrops kingsleyae is the source of this 1079-nucleotide long non-coding RNA. RefSeq lists it as uncharacterized. Lineage: Eukaryota; Metazoa; Chordata; Actinopteri; Osteoglossiformes; Mormyridae. The record is from RefSeq and is a predicted model, not a curated record.
CCCCCUCGUCCCGUACCGCUUGGGCCCGACACCUGAUCGCCGCCAGGCAGGACACUUGGGAACUUACAAAAAUGAAAAAACUUCCAAAGGCAGGAAAUCGACACAAGCUUCAUUUAUUACUGCUAUAAGUGUUGGGAUGAAAGUCUCGUCCAGAAUGACUUACGAGAUGCAAAAAGUGGGAAAAACAGAGAAGGAAUGCAAACCUUAACAGCCCGCCAGCAUCUGUUGUCAAGCUCCGCGUUUACACCACUGGCCACUGCUCUACUGCUACGUGUGAGAUGUUUUAUUUAAUUCCCCGAUGUGUCACUCGGUUGAAGGAGACACGGCGGUUGCGGUGAACCUCCCCCCCCAACCCCUGAACCCUUGCAAUCGAAGAUCGGCCCCAGUUACUGGAAACCGACUCCUGUCCAGCUCCUACAAAAUGUGACGGGACCCUGAAGCAGCGGAGGUGUUAAACAGAGUCCAUUUGGAAAUCACUGCCCAUAAUGAAAUGGAGUAUGCACUAUUUAUAGAGAAGUGGCAGCUUUGGCUGCACUGCAGACCCUCUUCCCGGUGCCCGGCAGUAAAAUUGAAUGUUUAUACUUCUGGCAACACUUUAGUUUAAGGUCAUAAACUAUUAAUAUAUCAUUAAAGAUCAUCUGAUAAUAUAUUAAAAGAUAGAAAGAUUCAUUCACAAACAAAUUUAGAAAUGUAUUACAACCAAAUCUUGCUCCUCUUUUACAAGGUAAUUAUGAAAACACCUGCUAAUCACUUGCAAGUAUAAAACAAUGUUUUAGGAAGCAAAUUCAGAAAUUAGUUUUACGAGCUCCUUAGUAAACGUUCUUUGUAAUGCAUUAUAAAUGUGAUUAUAGGUUAAUCUUUUUAUCUAUGAUUAUAUUAUAGUAUAGUAACACUUUAUUAAUAGCUAAGGUGCAGAUGUUUUGCCGACUUCCCAAAAAUAAUCCCAAAUCUGCUGGCACUUGUCAGCUUUGAAAUUUUAAUUGAUAUUUUUCCAAUAAGUGAACAUUUAGGACAGAGAAAAAUACAGGAAUAACACCUUACUAGCCAGUGACAGAGCCUGUGUAAUGUGUGUUAGAUGC